UACGGAGGGUGCGAGCGUUGUCCGGAUUUAUUGGGUUUAAAGGGUGCGUAGGCGGCCUGUUAAGUCCGGGGUGAAAGCCCGUUGCUCAACAACGGAACUGCCCUGGAUACUGCCAGGCUUGAGUACAGACGAGGUUGGCGGAAUGGACUGAGUAGCGGUGAAAUGCAUAGAUACAGUCCAGAACCCCGAUUGCGAAGGCAGCUGACUAGGCUGUUACUGACGCUGAGGCACGACAGCGUGGGGAGCGAACAGG
This 253-nucleotide ribosomal RNA is filed under the name uncultured bacterium. RNAcentral describes it as "partial 16S ribosomal RNA". It matches the Rfam family "Bacterial small subunit ribosomal RNA", at positions 524 to 776 of the family's 1533-position model. The record is from RNAcentral.